ACGUAGGGUGCGAGCGUUAAUCGGAAUUACUGGGCGUAAAGUGUGCGCAGGCGGCCCCGCAAGUCGAGUGUGAAAUCCCCGAGCUUAACUUGGGAAUGGCGCUCGAAACUACGGGGCUCGAGUGUGGCAGAGGGAGGUGGAAUUCCACGUGUAGCGGUGAAAUGCGUAGAGAUGUGGAGGAACACCAAUGGCGAAGGCAGCCUCCUGGGUCAACACUGACGCUCAUGCACGAAAGCGUGGGGAGCAAACAGGAUUAGAUACCCUGGUAGUCCACGCCCUAAACGAUGAUGACUAGUUGUUGGAGGAGUUAAAUCCUUUAGUAACGCAGCUAACGCGAGAAGUCAUCCGCCUGGGGAGUACGGUCGCAAGAUUA
Molecule: ribosomal RNA, 373 nt
Filed under: uncultured bacterium
Lineage: Bacteria
Description: bacterial SSU rRNA
Rfam family: Bacterial small subunit ribosomal RNA
Source: RNAcentral